Molecule: non-coding RNA, 859 nt
Organism: Cyprinus carpio (common carp)
Lineage: Eukaryota; Metazoa; Chordata; Actinopteri; Cypriniformes; Cyprinidae
Source: the annotation of a RefSeq genome assembly
UGUAUGCAAAUGUCAUGAUUUAAUCAGGAGGAUCAGUGUCACUCAAACUCUCAAAGGACUGUGUUAUAAACAGGAUCCUCAGUCAGUGUUUGUGUUCUGCUGCAGUGCAGUUUCUCUUCACUUGACAGGUCUAGAUUGAUAAUGGAAAUGUUACAGUAUGGAGUUCUGCUGAUAAUUAUUUCAGCUGUUAGUGGUGAGUCUUUGACCUCCUCAGAUUCUGUGGUGAAAAAGUCUGGAGAAUCAGUGACUCUGUCCUGCACUGUGUCUGGAUCAACAACAAGCAGCUACUGGAUGGGCUGGAUCCGUCAGAAACCAGGGAAAGCACUGGAGUGGACUGGGCUAAAAUAUGGCUCAACUGUAUAUUAUGCUCAGUCUCUACAAGGACAGUUCUCCAUCACCACAGACACCAGCAAAAACAUGCUGUAUUUAGAGGUGAAAAGCCUGAAGACUGAAGACACAGCUGUUUAUUACUGUGCACGAGAGUCACUGUUAAACAAAAGACUGCAGGACUGAACAAAAACUAUUCAUGCAUCACAUCACUGAAGCAAUUGCAAACUUCCCCACAAUUCAACAAAUUAUACUUGUUUAGAAAUGUAUUUAAAACAUUUAAAAACUUCUUCAUAAGCAGAUUCUCAAAUAAAUGAGUGACUAAAGGUCUGGAUUAAUUAAGGUACACCAUAAAGAUUAUAGUCUGCAGGGUUGAUCAAUCAGCAAAGAUACAAAACCUGUACAGUUGUCAUACAUGACAUUAUGAAACAAAAAUAUAUGGGAAUAUAGCAGAAAAUAUAAUGCAAUGUAUUUUGAAUAACACAUUUCUUUAUAGGAGACUGGUGAUUCUAUUUUUUUAUACCCUGCAGUA